Molecule: long non-coding RNA, 1811 nt
Filed under: Junco hyemalis (dark-eyed junco)
Lineage: Eukaryota; Metazoa; Chordata; Aves; Passeriformes; Passerellidae
Description: lncRNA (ENSJHYG00000004390.1)
Source: RNAcentral
ACUCACCUCUGUUUUUCAUUUUUAAGUUUCUGGCACUUGUGUGACAAACAAAUCCUAGCAAGGUGUUUCCAAGCCUGGAGGAGAUACAUCCUUUGGAAGAGGGCAGCCACACAGCUCUACAGACACCAGCUGCUUCAGAAGGGCUUUGGUGCUCUGCAGGGGAUUGUGCACCAAAGGAGGACACAAUUGGAGGUGGCCCAGCAGAGACAUGCUUCAGCUCUGCUAGCUGCCAGCUUCCAGAGGUGGAAGGAAGCUAUGGCAAAACAGAGCCAGAAGAAAGCUCUGCAGCCUGAGCCUUACUCCUACACUCAAAGUUCAUCAGUGGGGAGUUUUGGAGUAGGAAGAUUGGCCACUAUGACAACCCCAGCUCAGCAUCAGCUUCCAACAGGAUACUCAAAGGAAGUGGAGCAGGCUCAUAGGAUGGAGGCAGGGCUGUGGACACAGCUUCGUCACAGGCACAGAGGAGAUGAGUUCUGCUGGGGAGUUGAAGCAAUCAGAGACAUGAGGAGGCUGGCUGCUUUCAGACUGUGGCGCCUGCAGAAGGAGCUGCUGAGCAAAGAGGAAGCCAGGCUUUUGGAAGCCCGUGCUCUGCUGGAGAAGAAAAAGCUACAAAACAUUUUCUGGAUGUGGCAUUCCCAAAGCUUGGAAAUGAAAAAGAUUCUAACACUGACAACUCGAAUCCAAAGAAACUUGGUCUCCCGGUGCUUCAGUACAUGGAAGGAGACUGUUGAGCAGAAGGCACUUCACAGGUGCAAUCUGGCCCAUCUCAGAGCAGUAUCACUGAGGAGGCACUUCCAGCAGUGGGUUGGGAUGCUGCAGGUCAGAAGAAGUGAUAAGCAGGCAGUGCUGAACCUCUUCCUCCUGCAGUGGAGGCAGCAUUAUGGUGAGCAGUUUGGGCUCUGUGCAGAAUCUAAACUUGAGAUGUGCUUAGGCUCCUUCCUCCUCUUGCACACUGAAAACAGAGGGGCUCAGAUGAUACAGGGUGUGAACAAACCAGGGUGGGCAGAGGACUGGUUCUGGGUGUGUCAGUGAAGCUACAGGGAGGUGUGUUGCUCUGCAUCAUAAACCAAACAUAAACUCUUAAACCUUGCUGAAAAGAAGCAAUUUGAGGGUUGGGCUGGGCUGAGUUGGAAUGCCUUCAGACAAUCUCUUGUUCCUUUAUGUAACUGGUUAAGGAGCAGUUGUGGGCUCAGCAGCUGACAAGAAUGUGACAAAGAGGCAUGAAUGUCAGAUAUGGACGGGAGAGAAACAGUUUCUGGAGAAAACUGUGUGUUCUUUUGAUGACUUCUGCCAAAAACUGAAGCUGCAGAGAGUAUAUCUGCUGUGGAAAACAAGGCUCUGUGAGCAUCACAAGGCUGAGUGAGUGCAGAAGAGCCAGUCCCUGGAGCCCUGCCCCCAUUAGUAGUGUCCACUUGAUUUUCUGAACCUUUUGCUAGAGCCCCUUUUACCCUGUCUAUUGUCCAUCAUGUCUGUGCUAGUCACCCCCUCUGGUGUUCUUCUUUCACUUCACUGUCUCAGUAUCUUCUGUCUCAGCUCUUUCUCUCAGACUUUGGAGCAGUGUAAACUCAGAAAAACUCUGAAAUUAUGGCACCAAAAGUAUCUCAUGCUGAAGACAAUUGAACAAAGUUCUAAGCACUUGCACAGAGCUGUCUAUGAGGAACCUCUUGCCAUGCUGUUUUCUGAGGACCUCUCAACAUCAUCUGGCUUUGACAGCAGUGCACCAGCUACUCUGACCUCUCAGAGCUCAUUGGAAAAGGUGAGAAGGUCUUGGUACUCCUAGAGUGCUCUGGGGUAUUAAAUUGCUGGGAUUU